GCAUCAAAUAUGCCCACGGAGCC
This 23-nucleotide non-coding RNA is filed under the name Arabidopsis thaliana (thale cress). The record is from RNAcentral. Lineage: Eukaryota; Viridiplantae; Streptophyta; Magnoliopsida; Brassicales; Brassicaceae.